GUGACAGAGUUAAUCAGAGCUCUGGAAGUGCUGCUUGGGACCCCUCCUGAGAGAAGCAGAGCUGCAAAUCCAGAGGAGGAGCUCAAGAUCCAAGCGCAGGCUGCAGAGGCAGCUGUGCCCCCCGUGCACAGCCUGGCCAGUGAGAAGAAACCAGAAGGGCAGGAUCCUGAGCUCCUUCAGCUUGGGGAGCUGUGCAGCAGGAAAGAUGCUUUUUCCAGCCUGCUUGGGCAUGAGGAGCAUGAUUUAGAUCUCCAGUUGGUUUAUCGGACUGAGCUGGAGGUGGAGGGUCUGGUGGCAGCUUCCCCCCUUGCCAAGACCCUGUGUGAGA
Motacilla alba alba is the source of this 328-nucleotide long non-coding RNA. RefSeq lists it as uncharacterized. The transcript is spliced from 3 exons. Lineage: Eukaryota; Metazoa; Chordata; Aves; Passeriformes; Motacillidae. The record is from RefSeq and is a predicted model, not a curated record.